AGAAUGUCUUGGGACCGGACAGCCAGGCGGCUGGCACCACCAUCACCGCUAUCGCUGCUCCUGGUGCUGGUGCUGCUGUCACGAGCCAGGGCUCUGCAUCCUGAAGAGCUCUUUCCUUACGGAGAGUCGUGGGGAGACCGGCUGCUGCGGGAGGGCGAGGUUGAAAGCUCCGCGGCUGUGAAGCUAGCAGUAUUCUACGGUGUCCAGUUCAGCAACCUCUACCCAUCGCCCCAUUCCUGGCUGACAUCCACUCAGUGGCCUGAUCCUGUAUGGAGGACACCUCCUGGGCUGUGCUGAGUCUGGCUGCUUGCUACCUGUGCACAGGCUUCCCCCCUACCCACUUCUUCCUGGCCACCUGGGAGCAAGUGGGCGCCUAGGAGGAGGACAGGCUUGGGACUGCGUGGUCUGGAGAGGAUAUGGAGACUUCAAUGAUUUUAAUCUAGAGGAUGCGCUGAAAGAAACUUCCUGAGUAAAGCGUGACUCAAACAAACAAGUCCACCAAGCAAACACAAGUGGUCGGCCGUGCACCACACUCACAAUCUUGCCUUCAGAAAAGUACAUGCAUAUGAGACUAGCUGCACCUCCAUCUACCUGUUAGUUCUGUUGUGCAAGGCUUGUGUCGUCUCGUCAUACGUGUGUCAUCUUCCUUUUUCAUUUAGUCUAUGUCGAAACCACAAGAGAACGUGCAUCUGCCUUCACCUUUUUUCUGCUGUACAAAAAGAGAACUCCUACCCGUUUCAUUCCUCUCACUGUUUUGUUUUGAGACAGGGUCUCUUGAUUUAGCCCGAGUUGUCCUGAAAUUCUCUGUGCCGACAAGGCCGGCUUUGACUUGGAUCCAGUGCUAGAACAACAGUGACUCUUGUCCACUGAUGCAUUUCUAGCUUCAGAACCCAUGACUUUUUAUGAUUCUUCAGUGUGAUCCCCACAAUGGCCUCGGGGACCAAUACCGAGACCAUUCUCACGAUGUGACUUCUGUAAACCAUAAAGCAGCCAAUGUGUUUUACAAUCUGCUUCCUUUCAUCCUCCCAUCUCCCUUCAGAGCCACUUUAGCACCACGACUAGGAGGACAGGAACUACCAGAGCCCCAUCAAAUCCAGCAGGUAACGAGGUGUGGGAAGUGAGGAAGGCCAGACUCACCUGAGAAGGGACACAAGGAGGGACUCGUUGGGACUCCAUCUGGGACAGGGUCAAAAGGAGCCAUGUAGAAUUUUUAGCUGCACAUAUGAAAAGUCAGCAAAGGCACCCAUGUGAAUGUUAGAUUUAAUUCAACAGAAUCCCAUCUAGUUGGUCACUGUGCCUUAUGGGAAAACCAUGCAUUUCCACUUCCUAUUUCUUUGGGUGACGAUGGCUGCCAGAAUCCAGGUAUAGGAGGCAGAAGGGGUGAGCUGGGCUUGACUGAAGACCCAGCCUAUCCCCAUAGCUCCCAGGUUAAACAUGAGCCAUUCAUAGUCGAGCACAGUAGGGCAACCUGAGGCCAAAGGAGAAGUCUUCAACGAAGAUAUUCAGAUGUUUUCUUGAAAUUCUCUUAAGUUUUUGAAGAUCUCAGGAGAGUUUGUGUAUGUGGGUCACAUCUAUAAAUACUUCUCAUCUGAGAACUUAGAACUAAAAACUGAUAUUAAUCUGAGGAAAAUAAAAAGCCAUAUGCAUUGA
This 1650-nucleotide long non-coding RNA is filed under the name Rattus norvegicus (Norway rat). RNAcentral's name for it is "long non-coding RNA NONRATT016445". Lineage: Eukaryota; Metazoa; Chordata; Mammalia; Rodentia; Muridae. The record is from RNAcentral.